CGCUUUCUGUGUGAACAUAGGGGGUCGUGCCUUCCCGGUGAGCAUACGAGCUUAAACGGACGCGGUAAAUCGUGCUAAGGUAGCUAAGUUAUGGCCUAUUAAUUGUAGGUCCUGUGAAUGGUUUGACGAGUUCUCGACUGUCUCGAGAUUAUUUUGGUGAACUUGAAUUAAAAGUGCAAAUGCUUUUAUGGGUAAGAAAGACGAGAAGACCCCGUGAAGUUAGAAAUUCCUAUUACCACGUUAAUCUCCAAUGGUUUUCCAUGGUUUUAACAAGGUUUUAUUGGUUUAGGUAUUGGUGGAGUGUUUUAAAGUAGAAGAAUGUAAUUUUGAUGAGUUUUGGCUGGGGCAGCGAAUAGGCAAAACUAGACCUUUUUUUUUAUUAAACGGGUGCGUUACGACCCACAGAAAUAAAAGGUGUGAUUAGCAGAAGAAGUUACUCCGGGGAUAACAGCGUAAUCCGCCCCGAUAGUUCUUAUAGACGGGCGGGUUUGCGACCUCGAUGUUGGCUCUGGAUAUCCUGAGGCUUGUAGGUGGUCUCAAGGGUUGGUUCGUUCGCCCAUGAAAAUCCG
Molecule: ribosomal RNA, 569 nt
Filed under: Veprichlamys jousseaumei
Lineage: Eukaryota; Metazoa; Mollusca; Bivalvia; Pectinida; Pectinidae
Description: partial 16S ribosomal RNA
Rfam family: Bacterial large subunit ribosomal RNA
Source: RNAcentral